RNAcentral lists this ribosomal RNA (402 nucleotides) under bacterium. Its description in RNAcentral is "partial 16S ribosomal RNA". It matches the Rfam family "Bacterial small subunit ribosomal RNA", at positions 355 to 776 of the family's 1533-position model. The record is from RNAcentral.
UGGGGAAUUUUGCACAAUGGGGGAAACCCUGAUGCAGCGACGCCGCGUGAUUUAGAAGGCCUUCGGGUUGUAAAAAUCUUUUCUAUGGGAAGAAAAUGACAGUACCAUAGGAAUAAGGACCGGCUAAUUACGUGCCAGCAGCCGCGGUAAUACGUAAGGUCCGAGCGUUGUACGGAAUCAUUGGGCGUAAAGGGUACGUAGGCGGGUAAGCAAGUUAGAAGUGAAAUCCUAUAGCUCAACUAUAGUAAGCUUUUAAAACUGCUCAUCUUGAGGUAUGGAAGGGAAAGUGGAAUUCCUAGUGUAGCGGUGAAAUGCGCAGAUAUUAGGAGGAAUACAGGUGGCGAAGGCGACUUUCUGGCCAUAACCUGACGCUGAGGUACGAAAGCGUGGGUAGCAAACAGG